This 460-nucleotide ribosomal RNA is filed under the name uncultured bacterium. RNAcentral describes it as "partial 16S ribosomal RNA". It matches the Rfam family "Bacterial small subunit ribosomal RNA", at positions 338 to 795 of the family's 1533-position model. The record is from RNAcentral.
CCUACGGGUGGCAGCAGUGAGGAAUAUUGGUCAAUGGACGGAAGUCUGAACCAGCCAUGCCGCGUGCAGGAAGACGGCUCUAUGAGUUGUAAACUGCUUUUGUACAAGGGUAAACCUGAAUACGUGUAUUCAGCUGACAGUACUGUACGAAUAAGGAUCGGCUAACUCCGUGCCAGCAGCCGCGGUAAUACGGAGGAUCCAAGCGUUAUCAGGAUUUUUUGGGAUGAAUGGUUGCGUGGGCGGAUUGAUAAGUUAGAGGGUAAAUAUCCGAGCUUAAAUCGGGAACUGCCUCUAAUACUGUUGAUCUAGAGAGUAGAAGCGGUAGGUGGAAUGUAUGGUGUAGCGGUGAAAUGCGUAGAGAUCAUACAGAACACCGAGUGCGAAGGCAGCUUACCAAUCUAUAUCUGACGUUGAGGCACGAAAGCGUGGGGAGCAAACAGGAUUAGAGACCCGUGUAGUC